UAAGGGCCUAUAACUAGACUGUUAUCAGUGUCGAAUAUAACUUUUUGGGUGAAUACCUACAAAGAUUGCAAUUAUAAGCACUGUUUUAAAUAAAACGCAUAUGUUUCUCAACAGAAUGAAAACAAAAUAGCUUUUAAAGUGCAAAAUGUUCGCAUUAUUUGGAUAUAUUCUGAUUUGCUCUCAUUUACAGGCGGUACAAGGCCUACAGGAAUGCAACGCAGGCAACCAUACUUUUGUCAACUGUACAUACAGUUGUUGUCCUGUCAACAACAGCACAUAUGAGGAAUGCUGUCAGAAGCAAGGCCCAAACGAAUGCUAUGUAGGCAACCAGACAUUUGUUAACUGUUCACAUGGCUGCUGUCAAGUCACCAACAGCACAUUCGAACAAUGCUGCCAACUACAAGAUUCGCAGGAAAGCUUUACAUACACAUGGCAUGUUUUGUGGACCCUUGUUCCGCUCGCCGGGAUGAUCGGUGGACUUCUAUAUUUCUGUUUUUGUAAGAUUCCUUAAGAUGGUGAAAGGAAAUGGGCUUCCUCUAGUAAGGUCAGCGAUAGCCGCCAUAUUGGAUUUCCCUUCUGACCUAAUGUAAACAUGUGGUUGAAACUUUGUGGAAAAAAUGGGUAUUCAUCAAAGUAUCUUUCAAUAAACACAAGAGUGUUUACUUAAGGAUGUUCGAUCGUUUCGUGAUUUUUUUUUAAAAUAUCCAGAAUGCUAUAAUUUUUUGUAGGGUGAUUAAUGGAUAUGUAUCUGAAAUAAAUAUCAAAUAAAAAAGGGGGGUCACCGUGAAUAAUUUUGAGAUAUUGACGGUUUUUAAAUGCAAUGUGCGUUUGAGAAAAGGUCAUUUUUGCGGGGCAUAAAAUAGGGGGUACGGUAAAACGUUUGUGUGUAAAACAUUUAAAAUGGAGUAGUAAUAUUGAGAUUGUAUUAGAUCAGCAACUGUAACCUUUGUAUUAUCAUACUGAACACAUUUAAAACCAAAAAUAUUGGAAAUCGUAAAAAGUAAUGAGACAUAAG
Molecule: long non-coding RNA, 1015 nt
Organism: Dreissena polymorpha
Lineage: Eukaryota; Metazoa; Mollusca; Bivalvia; Myida; Dreissenidae
Exons: 4
Source: RefSeq, a predicted model, not a curated record